UACGUAGGGUGCGAGCGUUGUCCGGAAUUAUUGGGCGUAAAGAGCUCGUAGGCGGUUUGUCACGUCGGCCGUGAAAACUUGCAGCUUAACUGUGGGCGUGCGGUCGAUACGGGCAUCACUGGAGUUCGGCAGGGGAGACUGGAAUUCCUGGUGUAGCGGUGAAAUGCGCAGAUAUCAGGAGGAACACCGGUGGCGAAGGCGGGUCUCUGGGCCGAUACUGACGCUGAGGAGCGAAAGCGUGGGGAGCAAACAGG
RNAcentral lists this ribosomal RNA (254 nucleotides) under uncultured bacterium. Its description in RNAcentral is "partial 16S ribosomal RNA". It matches the Rfam family "Bacterial small subunit ribosomal RNA", at positions 524 to 776 of the family's 1533-position model. The record is from RNAcentral.